This 292-nucleotide ribosomal RNA is filed under the name uncultured eukaryote. RNAcentral describes it as "partial 18S ribosomal RNA". It matches the Rfam family "Eukaryotic small subunit ribosomal RNA", at positions 6 to 302 of the family's 1831-position model. The record is from RNAcentral.
GGUUGAUCCUGCCAGUAGUCAUAUGCUUGUCUCAAAGACUAAGCCAUGCAUGUCUAAGUAUAAAUAGUUUUUAUACUGUGAAACUGCGAAUGGCUCAUUAAAUCAGUUAUAAUUUACUUGAUUAUAUUAAAUUACUUGGAUAACCGUAGUAAUUCUAGAGCUAAUACAUGCAAAAAUAUCUGACUUUUUGGAAAGAUAGUAUUUAUUAGAUACAAAAAUCAAUUUAAUUUAUUGAUGAUUCAUAAUAACUUAACAAAGCGAUUGAUUUAUUUUCAAUUGCUGAUACAAACAA